GCAAGAAGAGGAAAAGGAGGUCGCAUCCUGCCAUACCUAUCCACAAAUUUCCUCGGGGGCUGCCGCCGCCGCAUCUUCUCCUCCCCUGGCGAUUCCGCUCUCCUCGCCAUCGAUCUCCUCUGCCUCCAUACCUAACCGCUGCUUCUGAAAAAAUGGCAUGGCUGUAGGUGGGGAGCGACAUGGAUUGGGCGGAAACAAGAGGUACCACCCCUUGACUCCGCAUCUGGUGUCGGUAUGAAGCAGAUAUGGUUGUGGAUGGCGCCAGCGUUUUCUCUUCCCAUCCUUGCUCUCCAUCCGAAACUGUGGUUAAGAUCCUUUUACAUGGAUCCUCCACAUCCAGGUUCUUGAAUCCUCUCCCAUCUCACAAGUAUUACCAUCCAUUGAUCCUCUCGUUCUCAUGGCAGUGGCGGCCGCCGGUGGAAAGCGGUUCUCAAACGGCUACAGUGGGUACAAGAUGUUGAGGUUGGUGCAGAUUUUGCCUCCUCCUUUCUCCCCCUUUUGACGAGGGCCACCUACAGGGGCGCAAAUUUAGGGUGCAGAGCAGGGUGAGCUCCCCAUGAACGCUCAAGUAGGUGUCCUACUGGCCUCAAUGCAACUGAUGAUCUUCAUGUGGGAAGAUAGAUCGUCUUGCCGUUCAAGGGAAGAAACUUUGGAUGCAGGGGAGUCAAUAGAUCUGAGUUGUGCCUCGUGGUAUAGGAUGGCAGUGCUGCUGGUCAAUGGUAACAGAAAAGAUGACGCCAAGCUCGCGGUGCACUAGGAUGCCAUCCGCCUCCCCGAUGGCACGGCCGUCAAGGCCAUGGACCUCUGGAUGCACAAGACACUGGACACCAAGUUCAUGGAUAGUAUAUUUCUCAUCGUCGAGGCAAAAAGAGUUACCUCCUAUCUCAGACACGCUUUUACGGUAUCGGUUUCUUUAAUGCUUAUAGCAUAAUUUGUUGGAGCGAAAAUAAUGUCUAAUUGUGUGCAGAUUGUACUGCAUUGUUUCAACAGUUUCUUCGUAGCUUACAGUGGCUUAUUCUCUGAAUUGGUUUUGGAGGUGGGAAGAAGGUACUGAAGGUUAUCGUGUAAUUAUCUUCGAAAAGUGGGGGUAACGGCCUUUACCGACUACUUGUCUUGUUGAUUAUGAACCCACAAAUAGCUUGUGUUACCUGUCAGUUACUGCUUUCUCUGCAUUUUCCUUGACGCCAUACUAAAAUAUGUGAACCAUGUAAGAUUAAUUAACUCAGUAAUGCAUGGUAAAUGACAAGAUUCUUUGAUGUUGCAUUUUGAAAUGUCCUCUUUUUACCUAUUGUUUUCUUGACACAAACAUUUAUGUGCUUGACAAGAGGAAUAGAAAUCACCCAGGCCAAAGUUUGAUUUAUAUUUUUUAAAGAGGAGACAUUUCAGGUUUGAGGAUGUGCAAUCAAUCGCUGAUGGUUAGGCCUAACACUACAUUUUAAUAUUUCAAUGUAUCCUGCUACAUGGUGCAUUCGGUGACUAAUAUAAAGCUUCUGAUGCUACAUAGUUAACUUCUAGAAAGAACAAGUAAGAAGGAUGUCUCAACUUUUACGUUGCAUUUUGUGUGUGUGUGUAGUCAACCUUAUACAGAACUGAUGUAUCAUGCACUGUAGUACUAGGUCCCAGUAUCGUUUCAGUCCUAUAUUUCUCUAGGAACUGUGUUAGGACCGAUAGGACACUCUGCUGCUUCCAACAAUGGAGCUGUCAUUAUUGUUAGGAUUGGUGGUGUAGAUGAUUACCUAGAAAUAGUUAUGUAUGAUUGAAUGUUGAUUGCAUUUUAUAUGCCAACAAAGAUCCUUUUUUAAAUGCUUCUGCCUUACCACUACUAAUGAUUAUACUAGGCUUAAAUCCAGAUUGUAGAAGCUAGACGACUUGACGCUUUAUUUGGGCUCAUAAAUAAUUUAGUUUAUUUACUUUUCUGUAAUUGUAUUGCUAAAGUUUUCAUUUUUUGGAAAAUGACUCCUGUAACAUUCCCCUUUCGAACAUUAUAUUUGUGUGUAUCUCCGCAUAUCUCACUUUCUCAAUGCAAUCAGCUAACAAUGGAACAUGAUGUUGCAACGAAUGGUAUAAAUGUUACUUUGACUUGUGAGCCAUCUGCAACUUGCAUCCUUGUGGCUAAAGAACAGCACUACACUUGCCGUGCUAUUCUUGUAGCCCCUUCUUCCAAAUAUCCACACUUCAACUAUGCUAACAUUCUGCUGAAUAUGUACUUGCUACUCUGAUUGCUAAGUUCGAAAUAUUUAUCCAUGUUAUACCGAUGUGGAGAAACCUGAAGACCUAUUGACAAGGAGUAGGUGAAGGCAAACACUUGAGAGGAGGGGGACUUCGUUGGUGAGAACGGGUUUGACACAACGCAGACAGUAUGUAGUUGUAGCAUUCGUAGAUGUUCCCUCCAAUACCUGCUACUCAGAUGUUCCCUCCAAUACCUGCUACUCAAAGAAUAUGCCAGGGCCUCAUGACAAUGUGAUACUGCAGUAUCAUGUGUUUUGUUCUGUUGUCUUUUAUGUGUUUCUUCAUUUCAGUUAUGUUUGUGAAUAAGAAAUUUCUGGUGUUGUAUGUAUAUCGUGCAAGAGCAGUCAAUAUUUCCACUUGAAA
Long non-coding RNA from Lolium perenne, 2592 nucleotides. RefSeq lists it as uncharacterized. The record is from RefSeq and is a predicted model, not a curated record. Lineage: Eukaryota; Viridiplantae; Streptophyta; Magnoliopsida; Poales; Poaceae.